Long non-coding RNA from Orcinus orca (killer whale), 3791 nucleotides. RefSeq lists it as uncharacterized. The transcript has 2 exons. Lineage: Eukaryota; Metazoa; Chordata; Mammalia; Artiodactyla; Delphinidae. The record is from RefSeq and is a predicted model, not a curated record.
UGCCAGUCACGGCUGCCGCCGGAGUCUGUCAGCCUCGGAGCGACUUGUGGGGCGAAGCGCCAGGACGAGGCCACCAGGGGGCGCCUGAGACUGAAUGACACUUGGGGAGGGUCCCACCCGAGGCCGGAAGGCAGGAGGUCUGGGGAGCGGCUAGUGCCCUUGAGGAAGGGCCAGAGGCCGGAGGCUGUAGGUGAGUGAGUGAGGGGAGACAUGGCCGCGAGGUCCCGCGGAGGGCGCGACGCGCGGGGGAAAGGCUUCCGGGGGGAGAAGGGGCGCUGGCGGGCACCUGAGAGGAACUGACAGGAGAGAGCUGAUGGGAGGGCAACUGACAGGAGGGGAGAUGACACCAGAGAGGAGCCGGCAGGAGAGGGGCUGACGGGAGAGGGGAGCCGGCAGGAGAGGGCAGGAGAGGGGCUGGCAGGGCAGGGCAGUGCAUCUUCAGGCAGGCCGAAGGCUCUGCCGUGGGGCUUUCGAGGUAGCGGUGCCAAGCACCUCCUGGCCCUGGGAGGGAGCCACGCUGGGAGAGCUUGUGCCACUCAGAGAGAGCCCUGAAGUUUCGCGGUCCCGGCGAAGUAAAUGUGGAAGGCCUGGACUGCAAAGGAAGCGAGAGGAAGAUGGAGAAUGUGCUGAAAGGACUGGGGGUAGGUGGGGUGAGGAUAAAGUGACCGCAGGGUGUGCAGCAGGAGCCGGGGGCUCCGCGGAGUUGGAGGAAACUGUGCGGACACUGAGGUCCCAAAGGCGGCUCUGCAGGAGCUCACGGACAGCCCCACCAUUUCUUCGUCUUCCGCACAGAAGCCCUGACAUCAGGUCACAGCUUCCCCAGUUAGUUCAGAAACCAAUGAAGAAGACGCAGCAAUAAGAGGUUUGGAUAUCACAAUACCAGCCUUGCUACAGAGAAGAAACUAGUUUGGAAGACACGGCUUAGAUGGACGAUCAAGACGGCUAGCUACUUCCACCUCUAAAUCAGACACAUAGACCUCCCAGCCUCUGGCCCAGGGGGACAACUGCAGCUUCCACAGAGCUGUCCCACCAAGCACCAUGCAGCCAGGUGCCAACAAGCAGAUGGAUGCCUGUCAGCCUACUGACCCCAGAAAGUGUACCCAGAGGAGGCUGAGCACGGUCAACCCUGUCUGUUCUCCUAAAUUCACCAAUUCACACUUCCCUGGGAGAGGGAAAAAGGCUGGAAGUUUUUCUCCAGGGACGUCCCUCCACUGUGGAAACACGAAGCAUGGGAAUAAGGGCUCCAGCCUACAUGGACAUCUCAAACUCUGACUCUGGUCAAGCUAAGGGAGGAAAUAGGUUUCGCUUGGAGCAGCAUUUGAGUUUUGAUAUUUUACUGGACUGGACUUUUUAUGAGCAAAACAAUAAUCCUCUUUUUAAAAUUUCUAAGAUAGGGGGGCUUCCCUGGUGGCGCAGUGGUUAAGAAUCCACCUGCCAAUGCAAGGGACACGGGUGCGAGCCCUGGCCCGGGAAGAUCCCACAUGCCGCGGAGCAACUAAGCCCGUGCGCCACGACUUCUGAGCUUGUGCUCUAGAGCCCGCGAGCCACAACUACUGAGCCCACGUGCCACAACUACUGAAGCCUGUCGCCUAGAGCCCAUGCUCCGCAACAAGAGAAGCCACGACAAUGAGAAGCCCGAGCACCGCAACGAAGAGUAGCCCCCGCUCAAUACAACUAGAGAAAGCCCAUGUGCAGCAACGAAGACCCAACACAGCCAAAAAUAAAGAAAGAAAUAAAUUUAUAAAAAAAAAUUUCUAAGAUAGGAAAAACCUAUAAAAUCUAUCUGAGAAUCACAGAUAAGAAUUUCUAGGGAGAGUCAUGAGAAAAAAUAAUGCUUCUCUCCACUUGCACCCUACCAAUUCCUGCUUGUCCAAUAAACAGGACACGGAAGACUCUGAGGUUUUUGGCAUGGACAACUGGGCAUAUGAUAGUGUCAUUUCUAAAGUAGAGAAGAAGGUUUGGGGAAAACUUUCAACUUAGAUUAGGAACAUGUUAAGACAGAGAUGCCCAUUAGACAUUCAAGUGGAUAGGCUGAGUAGACAGGCUGGUAUUCGGGAGAGAAGACAGAACUAGAGAGAGAAACUUGGGAGUCGCCUGUUUUCAGGUGAUGUUUGAAAACAUAAGGUUGGAUGAAAUCAGCUAGGGCGUGAGUGUUCCAAAGAGAAGAAUUUCCAGGAUCAGUCCUAGGGCACCAACCAUUUCCAACCUAGAGGAGGAGGAGUGGCCAGAGAGAGGAGAAAAACUAGAGGAAUGUGGAGUCAGGGAAGCCAGGUGAAGACAUGGUGAUCUGUGCGGAGAUUUUAAAGGGAUUGUAAAAUGAGGUCUGAGAAUUGGUGACUAGGUGUGGCAAGACAAUUUACUGGUGACUGACAAGAGCAAUCUCAGGAGAUGUGAGACGAAAAGCCCAGCAGUAGUUAAAAAGGCGGGGGGGGGUGGGAUUUCCAAUUAAACAUGUCAGACUGAGCACAGGUAUUGACUUCCGUUUCCCACCUAAACCCUACUUACAUAAAGUAAUAAAAGAGACAAAAAUGCAUAGUAGUGAAAGAAUGGGAGAGGAAGCACCAGUAAACGAGGGAGGUCAACAAAAUUGGAGAGGCCAGGAAUGCAAGGAGGAGUACUCACUGCCUUAGCAAGCCAGAGGAAGCUGCAACCCACUGUCGGGGUGAAGCCACUGAGGAAAAAGACCAUUCUUGCCCGUGAGCCCCAGGAAGGUGUGGAAGUUAGAACUGGUGUAAAGUUUGAACAAGAAGCAAUCUGACAAUAGACCCCUUCCCCUACCUGGACAGAAGCCUGCAGCAGUGGAGUCAGAGCAGGUGUGAACUCAGGCACAAGACAUAGCUGAGGACCACUGAAAGCAGGGUGUUGAGUGAAAGUCUCCACUGUUGUGGCAGUUCCACUUCUCCCACUCAGCCGUAUAGCUCCGGGCAAUAGGAGGAUUUCUCUGGAGCAAAUGGCCCUCCCCCCAAAGACCUCCAAACAUUGGCCCCUGGGACCCAGUGGAAAAACAGAGAAGCCUAUCAGCUGGCAGACUGUAUCUGUUGGCACAGAGCUUCCAGCAAGCUCCUCAGAGCCCGAUCAUCAACAUGAGCCAAACAUUUGAGGAAAACCUCUACCACGAAAGGCAACGAAAAAGGAAAUUUUUUUUUUUUUUUUUUUUUUUUUGGCUGCGUUGGGUCUUCGUUGCUGCGCGCAGGCUUUCUCUAGUUGGGGUGAGUGGGGGCUACUCUUCAUUGUGGUGCGGGGGCUUCUCAUUGCGGUGGCUUCUCUUGUUGCAGAGCACGGGCUCUAGGCGCGUGGGCUUCAGUAAUUGCGGCACGUGGACUCAGUAGUUGUGGCACAUGGGCUUAGUUGCUCCGAGGCAUGUGGGAUCUUCCCAGACCAGGGACCGAACCUGUGUCCCCUGCAUUGGCAGGCGGAUUCUUAACUACUGCACCACCAGGGAAGUCCCGAAAAAGGAAAUUUUGAGAAAUGGAGAUGAUUGAAAGUCGUAGAAGAGGACUUUGAUGAAAACAUGUCCUCACAGAGAUAGAUGGUUCUUGUUUCAUGAGUGCAACAUCCUGACAUACUCUUUCCCUCCCUGACUUAUUUUUUUCUGUGCUUAUCACCAGUUAGCAUACCAAAUGUUUUGCGUAAUUAUCUUGUUUAUUGUCUGUCUCCCCCACUAAAAUAUAAGCUCUGUGAGGGCUGAAAUUUGUUUCAUUUGUUGCUAUAUCCCCAGCACCUGGAAUAAUGCCUGGCAUAUGGUAAACAUUCCAAAAGUAUAUACUGAAUAAAUGAAUGAAUUAAUAGGA